This 487-nucleotide ribosomal RNA is filed under the name Escherichia coli. RNAcentral describes it as "partial 23S ribosomal RNA". It matches the Rfam family "Bacterial large subunit ribosomal RNA", at positions 2259 to 2745 of the family's 2925-position model. The record is from RNAcentral. Lineage: Bacteria; Pseudomonadati; Pseudomonadota; Gammaproteobacteria; Enterobacterales; Enterobacteriaceae.
UGGUGGGUAGUUUGACUGGGGCGGUCUCCUCCUAAAGAGUAACGGAGGAGCACGAAGGUUGGCUAAUCCUGGUCGGACAUCAGGAGGUUAGUGCAAUGGCAUAAGCCAGCUUGACUGCGAGCGUGACGGCGCGAGCAGGUGCGAAAGCAGGUCAUAGUGAUCCGGUGGUUCUGAAUGGAAGGGCCAUCGCUCAACGGAUAAAAGGUACUCCGGGGAUAACAGGCUGAUACCGCCCAAGAGUUCAUAUCGACGGCGGUGUUUGGCACCUCGAUGUCGGCUCAUCACAUCCUGGGGCUGAAGUAGGUCCCAAGGGUAUGGCUGUUCGCCAUUUAAAGUGGUACGCGAGCUGGGUUUAGAACGUCGUGAGACAGUUCGGUCCCUAUCUGCCGUGGGCGCUGGAGAACUGAGGGGGGCUGCUCCUAGUACGAGAGGACCGGAGUGGACGCAUCACUGGUGUUCGGGUUGUCAUGCCAAUGGCACUGCCUGG